Molecule: ribosomal RNA, 385 nt
Filed under: uncultured bacterium
Lineage: Bacteria
Description: bacterial SSU rRNA
Rfam family: Bacterial small subunit ribosomal RNA
Source: RNAcentral
GACGAACGCUGGCGGCGUGCUUAACACAUGCAAGUCGAACGGUAAGGCCCUUCGGGUACGACGAGUGGCGAACGGGUGAGUAACACGUGGGUGAUCUGCCCUGCACUUCGGGAUAAGCUUGGGAAACUGGGUCUAAUACCGGAUAGGACCACGGUCUGCAUGGAUUGUGGUGGAAAGCUUUUGCGGUGUGGGAUGGGCCCGCGGCCUAUCAGCUUGUUGGUGGGGUGAUGGCCUACCAAGGCGACGACGGGUAGCCGGCCUGAGAGGGUGUCCGGCCACACUGGGACUGAGAUACGGCCCAGACUCCUACGGGAGGCAGCAGUGGGGAAUAUUGCACAAUGGGCGCAAGCCUGAUGCAGCGACGCCGCGUGGGGGAUGACGGCCU